This 449-nucleotide ribosomal RNA is filed under the name uncultured organism. RNAcentral's name for it is "partial 16S ribosomal RNA". It matches the Rfam family "Bacterial small subunit ribosomal RNA", at positions 331 to 797 of the family's 1533-position model. The record is from RNAcentral.
CGUAACUCCUACGGGAGGCAGCAGUGGGGAAUAUUGGACAAUGGGCGCAAGCCUGAUCCAGCCAUGCCGCGUGAGUGAUGAAGGCCCUAGGGUUGUAAAGCUCUUUCACCGGUGAAGAUAAUGACGGUAACCGGAGAAGAAGCCCCGGCUAACUUCGUGCCAGCAGCCGCGGUAAUACGAAGGGGGCUAGCGUUGUUCGGAUUUACUGGGCGUAAAGCGCACGUAGGCGGACUAUUAAGUCAGGGGUGAAAUCCCGGGGCUCAACCCCGGAACUGCCUUUGAUACUGGUAGUCUUGAGUUCGAGAGAGGUGAGUGGAAUUCCGAGUGUAGAGGUGAAAUUCGUAGAUAUUCGGAGGAACACCAGUGGCGAAGGCGGCUCACUGGCUCGAUACUGACGCUGAGGUGCGAAAGCGUGGGGAGCAAACAGGAUUAGAUACCCCUGUAGUCCC